RNAcentral lists this long non-coding RNA (924 nucleotides) under Coturnix japonica (Japanese quail). RNAcentral's name for it is "lncRNA (ENSCJPG00005012462.1)". Lineage: Eukaryota; Metazoa; Chordata; Aves; Galliformes; Phasianidae. The record is from RNAcentral.
CAGCAGCUGCCAUCACUGACAUACAGCACAGAAUGCAGAAGGAAUUAAAAAAAAACAAAACAACAAACCCUUCAGCUUUAUCUCAGUGCUCAGUUUCUCAGCACCACAGUUCAGUAUAUGAAUGUGCUGAUGUCUUACAGGAUGUCUGAGGUCUGGGCUUCAAAAGAAGAGUAUGCCCCUUGCUGGAGUUGAGACAUUAGAAAUUUUAGAAACUGAAAAAGCCCAUCUAGCUCAGCACUUCUGCUAUUUAUUUAGUUUUGGAGUUGUGAAGAGAGAAUUAGAUUCCUCCCAUCUCUAUUGUUUGGCCUGUGUAUUAAAAGGCAGAUACACAAGUAUUUAUUGGGAUGAUCUGGUUGUGCUGCCAAAGUGCAAAGGAAAAUGGGUAGAUGGGUGUUUUCUUCUGGUCUUCACCUUUAUGAAAAGCGGAGGCUGACAAGCAUCUGCAGGCUGCACGUUAAAAGAGCUGACAUUGAGAUUCCUGCUCCAACUAAUGCCAACAGUGUGCGAUAAAAUGAGGGGCCUUUUACACAGAGCUUCAGAAGAUAUAAAAUGCUAAAAGGUAUUGCCCUUCUCUUCCCUUAGCAUUUUUUUUUUAUUGCAGCAGGAAAAUCUUUGAAUGUCUGAGGAAAAAAAAAAAUACGACUGGUACACAAAUGAACAGAGAAUCUUAGAAAGUGGUUGAGUCUGCUACUUAUUGAUACCAAUAUUAAGGUUUAAAGAGAAAAAAAAAAAAAAAAAGGAAGGCUGUGAGGAAUAAUUGCAUGUGUUCAUGUCUAACUCACCGCUGGUCACAAGGUCGGUUCUUUGACUAAAUGCUGAAUAUCUAUGGUUGGGAAGAAAGCAUCCCUGUGUUCAUGGCGGGACUACAAAGACAAGUGACUAUGGAAGCAUUCUUACUUUGCUUGUUCUCCAUUGUGAAAAAGG